CGGGGCGUGGCGCAGUCUGGUAGCGCAUCUGGUUUGGGACCAGAGGGUCGGAGGUUCGAAUCCUCUCGCCCCGACCA
RNAcentral lists this transfer RNA (77 nucleotides) under Nevskiaceae bacterium. RNAcentral's name for it is "tRNA-Pro". It matches the Rfam family "tRNA". From Rfam's summary of the family: Transfer RNA (tRNA) molecules are approximately 80 nucleotides in length. Their secondary structure includes four short double-helical elements and three loops (D, anti-codon, and T loops). Further hydrogen bonds mediate the characteristic L-shaped molecular structure. tRNAs have two regions of fundamental functional importance: the anti-codon, which is responsible for specific mRNA codon recognition, and the 3' end, to which the tRNAs corresponding amino acid is attached (by aminoacyl-tRNA synthetases). tRNAs cope with the degeneracy of the genetic code in two manners: having more than one tRNA (with a specific anti-codon) for a particular amino acid; and 'wobble' base-pairing, i.e. permitting non-standard base-pairing at the 3rd anti-codon position. RNAcentral also lists the same sequence under 2 other names. The record is from RNAcentral. Lineage: Bacteria; Pseudomonadati; Pseudomonadota; Gammaproteobacteria; Nevskiales; Nevskiaceae.